CUAAAUGCGGAAGAGAUAAGUGCUGAAAGCAUCUAAGCACGAAACUUGCCCCGAGAUGAGUUCUCCCUGACCCUUUAAGGGUCCUGAAGGAACGUUGAAGACGACGACGUUGAUAGGCCGGGUGUGUAAGCGCAGCGAUGCGUUGAGCUAACCGGUACUAAUGAACCGUGAGGCUUAACCUU
RNAcentral lists this ribosomal RNA (182 nucleotides) under Escherichia coli. RNAcentral describes it as "partial 23S ribosomal RNA". It matches the Rfam family "Bacterial large subunit ribosomal RNA", at positions 2749 to 2925 of the family's 2925-position model. Lineage: Bacteria; Pseudomonadati; Pseudomonadota; Gammaproteobacteria; Enterobacterales; Enterobacteriaceae. The record is from RNAcentral. RNAcentral also lists the same sequence under 1 other name.